Molecule: long non-coding RNA, 1061 nt
Filed under: Callithrix jacchus (white-tufted-ear marmoset)
Lineage: Eukaryota; Metazoa; Chordata; Mammalia; Primates; Cebidae
Description: lncRNA (ENSCJAG00000051675.2)
Source: RNAcentral
AAUAACUUCAAAGUUAAAACCGCACUGCCUCUUUCCUGUGCGGAUUUCCCUCUCUGAGAUCCCCUCCCGUAACAAUGUGGGAGCUGUUUUUCCUUCUGUAGCAGUGGGAAUAGCUCCUUCCAGUUCCCCUUUCCUUCCCACGGCAGCGUGGGAGCUAUUUCUCUUUCUCUCUCUGCCUGACGAAUCGCUUUCUGGUAAACUCUUUGCAUCUGAUAAUUACUUGACUGUUAACUCACCAGGCCGCCAGGGCCCCUUCCCCAUUCUUGGGGCAAAGAGAGAGGCCAAGAACCUCAGGCACAUCAAAUGGCAGGGAGCUGCGCCCCGAACUGUCCGGACCCAGUUACAGUAACAGAAGGUGCAGCAGAUGUUUGAAGAAGGGAAAUCCUUGACUAGCUGAGUUAGGGUGAAAUCCAGAUUAGGUGGAGGACAUGUUUUCAGCAAAAGACACAGAAUUACUACUAUUAUAGUAAGAGAUACAAACUAAGUGGGUGCAGAAGCAGAGAAAUCAGUGACUUUAUGGUAAGAGGAUUGAGUAAUUCCCAUCUCAUUAUAUCCAUCUCCUAACAAACAGAGCUACCAAUGUUAGGAUUGUAGAUGUGAACUACAAAAAAUAAACUUCCUGGGGAAAACACACAUAGAUCCAUAUCAUAAAACAUUUUUCUUCAUUUUACCUUUUAGUCUGGACCAGAGAGAAUUCUGGGGGCUUUCAGAACACUUCUAUUAUCAUACAAUUUAUAUUGCACUAUAAUUGCCACUUUAUUCAUGGAGAGAAAAUAUAAGUCAUAGUCUCUUCGUUAUCCUACUUAAGACAUUGGCCCUCAAAGAUUUUAGUAUGCAAUAAAUAUGUGAUGAAUGAGAGACUUAAAAAGUUAGAAAAUAACAAACAUAUAUGUCUGUAGCAUUUUGGGCAAAUCGCUGUUUACCCUGCAGCAUCUACAUAAAUUGAUUUGCUUGUGACUCAAAGAUGAAGCACAUGGAAAAAUAUAAGCAGUAUACAUGUUAGGAACUUUGGCAAGUCACUUUACUUCUCUGUGUUUCACUAUAUAUGACAAACUAAAAAA